UUAUAAAAAUAUAAAUGAAUUGUAUAUAUCUUUUAUAUUAUAUCUAAGAUAUACAAGUAUAUAAAGAGACUAUUAUGGAAAUACGUGCUAUGUAUUAAAGAGAGAAAUUUAACUUAUGUACAUGAAUAAAACAUAUGAACUCUUAGAGAAAUUAUUUAAUAAACGAAGUGAAUUGAAAUAUCUUAUUAACUUCAGGAAAAAAAAUCAAACGAGAUUCUAUGAUUAGUGUGAACUAAAAUAGAGUAGCCUAUAUAAAUAAGUAAAAUGGCCUAAAAGCUGUUUGAAUUUAUGGGGAACCUUCCUCAAAGGCUAAAUAUAAUACAUGAGCGACAGUGAAAAGUACCGUGAGGGAAAAUUUUUUUGAAAUAGUAGUUUUAUAAGCAGCUCAAGCUGAUAAUAAAAAGCAAGAGCGUACCUUUUGCAUAAUGGGUCACCAAGUUAACAUUAGAUGCGAGCUAAUUAUCUUGAUUUGAUAGAUGACAUGCAUAGUUAAACCGAUCAUUAAAAUAAUGAAUAGUGUCUAAAGUUAGACCCGAAGCCUAGUGAUCUUACUAUAGUCAGGGCUAUAAAGGUCCGAACGGGUUAUCGUUGCAAAGAUAUCCGAAGAACUAUGGUAAGCGAGUGAAAGACAACACUGACUAGGAUAGCUGGUUUUCUGCGAAACCUAUAAAAGUAGGCAGUUUAAGUAACAUCUUAGUAGGUACAGAACUUUAUCUCAGACAAGAUGUAUAUUCUCAUAUGGAUAAAUAAGGCGCGGCGCGGCGAAAGCUCUUCCUCGCUAUUUAUCUAUUUAUAUGAAAUACAUUUUAUUUGUAUACAUCGGGGGAUCGUGAAGAUUUUAUCGGUGAGUAUGUAGACUCGGAAUGACAAAGAUGGUUCUUGAAUUAUCGGACAUAGAAUGCUAAGGUUGUAUGUCAAAAGGGAAACAGCCCAGAACAAAGAAAUAGUUAAGGUUCCAAAAUUAUUAUUAAGUGAAAUUAAGAGGGUUUUUAUAUAAGUCGACAAGAAGAUAGGCCUGGAAGCAGCCAUAUUUUAAAGACCUCGUAACAGAGCACUUGUUAAAUCUUAAAAGCAUCGAAAAUUUAUCGGAUCUAAAUAAUAUACCGAAACUUUGUCCACAAAUGACCAUAAUAAAUUAAAUUAUGGUCAUUUUUGUGGGGUAGCAGAACGUUGAGUUAAUAUUUGACUUUUCUUUUUUAAAGAAAAAUAUAGGACAACUCAAGUGAUAAUGGUGACAUGAGUAACAAAAAAGAAGGGCUAUGUAAAUUAUAAUAUAAUAUAAUAUUAUAUUAUAUGUUAAGCUCUCUCGCCUAAAGCUUAUGGAAAGAGUUUUAAAAAAGUAACGGCCUCUAAGUUGAUAAUACUUAUAUUAUUGCGAUGAGAAAAUCUAAUUACUUUAGACAACAUUUAACCUUCAAGGCACGGGCAAGCACCUCAAAAAAUUUAUUUUUUUUUUGAGGAGCUUGCAACCGCGCCUUGUAGGGAGUGAAAAAUGUGCUGGAAAAAAAAGUAACCGAUCUGAUUUUCUUUAUAAAACUAAGUGGGUGACACUACUCAUGCAUGCAAACUACUGCGUAGUCAAGCCAGCAUGUAGUACGUAGUACCGCUCGCUUAAUUAAGGAAAUAGGAGAAGGAAGUACCGUACCUAGAAACUGAAACAAGUAAGCUAGUAGAGAAUACGAAGGCGUAAUGAGGUAACAAUCAUAAAGGAACUCGGCAAACUAACUACCGUAACUUAGGGAUAAGGAGGGCUCAUUAGUCUCGAUUAAUACGAGUAAAAAGGAAGAAGCAUGAAAUAUUGUUGUACGACUGUUUAAUUAAAACAAAGCACUUUGCAUAAAGAUGAAAAUCUAAGUAUUGAGUGUGAUCUCUGCCCGAUGCCGGCUGGUUAACGAAUUAACUAUAUUGAUAAAAGUAUGGUCUUAGAGGAACCCCCGGUUAAUGGCGGCCUUAGCGUGAGGGUCCUAAGGUAGCGAAACGCCUUGGCCGUUAAAUGCGGUCUUGCAUGAAUGAUGUAACGAUACAACAGCUGUCUCUAUGAUUGACUCAGUGAAAUUGGAAUAGCAGUGCAGAUACUGCUUACCUCUAGUUAGACGAGAAGACCCUAUGCAGCUUUACUGUUACUAAUUAUUGAAUAUGAUCCCGGCUAUUCUGAGUGUAUAAGGUAAUUGAUAAAAUAUAAUUGAAACACCUUUAUUAUUCCAUCAUAUUAUAAUUUAUUUAUUUUAAAUUUAUCUUAGAUUUUUAUACUAUGCACUACUAAACGUGCUAGUAUGGAAAUCAGUGUAGCUAUAUGCGGAACUAAAUAAGAAAGUCAACCGAAAUAAAUAAAUCAAACUACAAGGACGGCGCUAUAUAUAGCUCGUCGUCAAAAUACGUAUCAGUAUGGUGUGAUAAGGCAAUUUUGUGGCGCAGCUAGAUAGCUGCACCGCUAGUUAGUUGACACCUCACUAUGAAGUUACUAAUUUACGAACUAUAAAAUUACGAAGUUAGGAACUUCGUAGUUUACUCAUACCAAUACAAUACGUAUUUAUAAGGUAGAACAAUUGUUAGGAGACAGUUUAUGCGGGGCACAGACCCCAUAAAGAGUAAAUGGGUGUGUCUAAUAAUAAAAAAAUUUAUGUUUGCAAUUUUUUAUAGUAAUCCUAUAUUUAAUCAUGUAUGUUCUAUUCAUAGAAUAUAAUAUGAAUGAAUUCGAUUCAUUUAUAAUAUAGUCCUUGGGUACAGUAUAAAAAUUAUAUAUGUAUUUUUGCAAUAUAAUUUCCAUGAAAUUAGGAGGUAAGAUUUUAUUUAUAGUGAAAUUAGACGUAAUAAAGUAAAUAUUAUGAGAUAGGCGCAAGCUCGAGGCACAAGUUAUGGCGCAAGCUCUGGCACCUCGAGUUUGCACCUCUCUAAUAUUUUACUAUAGUUAUUAUUUAGUGCUGCUGUGCUUAAAAUAUUUAGCGCAAGCUAAAUCUAAGCCUGAAGUAUGCUAUGCUUAAAUUAUUUUAAGUGUAAGCUUUUUAAUAAUAAAAAUGUUUGUUACUUAUAAAGCUUAAUGGCUUAAUCUUGCCUUACUGUUUGAUUAACAACAAAUCUUACAGUCGCGUAAGCGGGGCAUAGGAUCACAAGAUACAAAAAGGAGAGAUCUUGGAUUAUUGGAAAAGCUACGCUAGGGAUAACAGGCUAAUUUGCGCAAGAGUGUACAUAAUGAGUGCGCGGUUUGGCACCUCGAUGUCGGCUUAACUUAUCCUCAUGGAUGCAGAAACUAUGUAGGGUACGACUGUUCGUCGAUUAAAAAGUUACAUGAGCUGGGUUAAAUACGUCGUGAGACAGUAUGGUUUCUAUCUUCUAGAGGGAAUUAGAAUAUAACAAGGAUUAAUCUUGUACGAAAGGAACAUGGGGUACUGUUGUAUACCCAAAAGGUAUGCCAAUUUUAUUAACCUCUGGUUUACCUGUUGUUUAUGUGCCUUGUAUUAAUUUCUUUUUUUUCGACGUCGUACGAAAGAAAAAAAAGAAAAAUGGGAUGUUAUAGUCACUAACUAAAUAAAUAACAUAAGCAUGGCAGGAAAGCUAAGUUAGUCAAAGAUAAGUGCUGAAAGCAUAUAGGCACGAAGCUUGUCUUGGGAUAUUUCUUAAAUAUACGUAAUAUAAUAUUACGUCAUUAGGCUUAAUUUGCAAGAAUCUAGAGAUUUUAAGGUAUUAAGUACUAAUUUUAUAGUAAACUAUAUAAUUGAU
This 3717-nucleotide ribosomal RNA is filed under the name Podospora comata. Its description in RNAcentral is "LSU rRNA". It matches the Rfam family "Bacterial large subunit ribosomal RNA". The record is from RNAcentral. Lineage: Eukaryota; Fungi; Ascomycota; Sordariomycetes; Sordariales; Podosporaceae.